This is a long non-coding RNA of Mastomys coucha (southern multimammate mouse), 547 nucleotides long. RefSeq lists it as uncharacterized. Lineage: Eukaryota; Metazoa; Chordata; Mammalia; Rodentia; Muridae. The record is from RefSeq and is a predicted model, not a curated record. The transcript is spliced from 5 exons.
AGAAAUUGUUCAUAAAACAGAAAUUAUGCCUCUUUUUGGAGAAGGGUAGAGGAAAAUGGAAAUGUUUUACUAGAAAACCUUCAUCAUCAGGCAUCUAAGUGAUGUUUGAACAUUUGAAUAAAUUUGCCAGCUACUGAGGAAACCAAAUAUCAACAACAGCAUUGACAAAUUCUUUCUGAUGGUCUAAAAGAGUGGUAGGCGCUGUUGUAAAAGUAACACUAAGAAAAUUUCUGAUGAUAUUUCUGAAGAACCAAAGACCUCAGACCCAUUGAUCUAAUAAUGCUAAAAAAUGGGAGACUAAGCUGAGGAAAACAAUAUUGACUCUCUGAACAGAGAUUUGUGUCAGAUUCUGAAAGGUCUGACACUAUGUAAAGACGUGGGACACUGAUACAAGAAAUUUUCUAUGGAAACGGUAUGUAAGAAAAAUCCAGUUGUGCCUUAUGCAUGUCCAUUCUAUCUGCACCAACUGGAAGAGGAAGUUCAGAAGUUCAAGGUUUUCCAGGAAUAGCAGGAUUGUAAAUUGCACAUUUAGAAGUAAACGGAGUGA